ACGAACGCUGGCGGCGUGCUUAACACAUGCAAGUCGCACGGAAAGGCCCUGCUUUUGUGGGGUGCUCGAGUGGCGAACGGGUGAGUAACACGUGAGUAACCUGCCCUUGACUUUGGGAUAACUUCAGGAAACUGGGGCUAAUACCGGAUAGGAGCUCCUGCUGCAUGGUGGGGGUUGGAAAGUUUCGGCGGUUGGGGAUGGACUCGCGGCUUAUCAGCUUGUUGGUGGGGCAGUGGCUUACCAAGGCUUUGACGGGUAGCCGGCCUGAGAGGGUGACCGGCCACAUUGGGACUGAGAUACGGCCCAGACUCCUACGGGAGGCAGCAGUGGGGAAUAUUGCACAAUGGGCGGAAGCCUGAUGCAGCAACGCCGCGUGCGGGAUGACGGCCUUCGGGUUGUAAACCGCUUUCGCCUGUGACGAAGCGUGAGUGACGGUAAUGGGUAAAGAAGCACCGGCUAACUACGUG
Molecule: ribosomal RNA, 467 nt
Filed under: uncultured bacterium
Lineage: Bacteria
Description: partial 16S ribosomal RNA
Rfam family: Bacterial small subunit ribosomal RNA
Source: RNAcentral